RNAcentral lists this ribosomal RNA (497 nucleotides) under uncultured bacterium. RNAcentral's name for it is "partial 16S ribosomal RNA". It matches the Rfam family "Bacterial small subunit ribosomal RNA", at positions 28 to 507 of the family's 1533-position model. The record is from RNAcentral.
GAUGAACGCUGGCGGCGUGCCUAAUACAUGCAAGUCGAGCAAACAGACGAGGAGCUUGCUCCUCUGACGUUAGCGGCGGACGGGUGAGUAACACGUGGAUAACCUACCUAUAAGACUGGGAUAACUUCGGGAAACCGGAGCUAAUACCGGAUAAUAUAUUGAACCGCAUGGUUCAAUAGUGAAAGACGGUUUUGCUGUCACUUAUAGAUGGAUCCGCGCCGCAUUAGCUAGUCGGUAAGGUAACGGCUUACCAAGGCAACGAUGCGUAGCCGACCUGAGAGGGUGAUCGGCCACACUGGAACUGAGACACGGUCCAGACUCCUACGGGAGGCAGCAGUAGGGAAUCUUCCGCAAUGGGCGAAAGCCUGACGGAGCAACGCCGCGUGAGUGAUGAAGGUCUUCGGAUCGUAAAACUCUGUUAUUAGGGAAGAACAAAUGUGUAAGUAACUAUGCACGUCUUGACGGUACCUAAUCAGAAAGCCACGGCUAACUACGUG